UACGAAGGGAGCUAGCGUUGUUCGGAAUCACUGGGCGUAAAGCGCACGUAGGCGGAUGUGUCAGUCAGGGGUGAAAUCCCGGAGCUCAACUUCGGAACUGCCUUUGAUACAGCACGUCUUGAGUCCGGAAGAGGAGAGUGGAAUUCCCGGUGUAGCGGUGAAAUGCGCAGAUAUCGGGAAGAACACCCGUGGCGAAGGCGGCUCUCUGGGACGGUACUGACGCUGAGACGCGAAAGCGUGGGGAGCGAACAGG
This 253-nucleotide ribosomal RNA is filed under the name uncultured bacterium. RNAcentral's name for it is "partial 16S ribosomal RNA". It matches the Rfam family "Bacterial small subunit ribosomal RNA", at positions 524 to 776 of the family's 1533-position model. The record is from RNAcentral.